This 276-nucleotide ribosomal RNA is filed under the name uncultured Aerococcaceae bacterium. Its description in RNAcentral is "partial 16S ribosomal RNA". It matches the Rfam family "Bacterial small subunit ribosomal RNA", at positions 28 to 303 of the family's 1533-position model. The record is from RNAcentral. Lineage: Bacteria; Bacillati; Bacillota; Bacilli; Lactobacillales; Aerococcaceae.
GACGAACGCUGGCGGCGUGCUUAACACAUGCAAGUCGAGCGAUGAAGCUUCUUCGGAAGCGGAUUAGCGGCGGACGGGUGAGUAACACGUGGGCAACCUGCCCUAUAGAGGGGAAUAGCCUUCCGAAAGGAAGAUUAAUACCCCAUAAGAUUGUAGUUUCACAUGGAACAGCAAUUAAAGGAGCAAUCCGCUAUAGGAUGGGCCCGCGGCGCAUUAGCUAGUUGGUGAGGUAACGGCUCACCAAGGCGACGAUGCGUAGCCGACCUGAGAGGGUGA